This 182-nucleotide non-coding RNA is filed under the name bacterium. Its description in RNAcentral is "6S RNA". It matches the Rfam family "6S / SsrS RNA". From Rfam's summary of the family: E. coli 6S RNA was the first non coding RNA to be sequenced, but its function was unknown until recently. The record is from RNAcentral.
CGCGCUCUGCGGUGCACGUGGACGAGCCGUCGGUGUAGAGCCAACGUACAACCCAAGGGAGCACUAUCUCCGGUACCGACACGUGCGAAGAUGCCCACCAUCAUCGCCACAGGCGGCCGGGACGCACCCACCUGCGAGAGCAGGUUCUAACCCUAGGCUCGAUACGACACGGUGGAGCGCGC